RNAcentral lists this long non-coding RNA (1074 nucleotides) under Heterocephalus glaber (naked mole-rat). Its description in RNAcentral is "lncRNA (ENSHGLG00000027436.2)". Lineage: Eukaryota; Metazoa; Chordata; Mammalia; Rodentia; Bathyergidae. The record is from RNAcentral.
UGAUUAAUGGUGGAGCCCAGGCCAAAAGACAAGCAUCGGAAUGCAAAGGACCACCCACGAAGUGGCGUCUUUACUGCAUCCUGAACUGGAGACCUCUGGCUCACUACUGCUGCUGCAGUUCUGCUGAGACCAUAGAAGAAUCUCAGCACUGACCUGUCAGUGUUCCCUCUGGCCUCCAAAGUCCAGGAGAUCAGUCACACUGUCUUUGAGCUUGAGUUGAGGCCAAUGCUCAUUUUAUUCCUACUCCAUGGAGACUGUUGUCAGUGAAAGGCUAAUAGGGGACACACACAGUGCAGCUCUGGACCCUGGGACUUGGAAAGACUUCCUGAGCAAACUUGCUAUGUGAACCCACCUGACUCACUUCCUGCUCAGCUCCUCUAAGAAGGGCAAUCCAUCUGGUAGUCUGCUUGGCAGAGUUAUGGUGAUCUUCAUCUUUCAGAGUUCCUCUUUCUACAGCUCACCAGUGAGAGAAUGAUGGAGUGGAAGCCAUAGGAACUACAGGUACCCUACUGGGAAGAGGGAUGAGUUCUGCUGGGGAGCCUCCUCUUGCUACAGAUGGCCCUACUGUGAGACUAUUCUAGCACUGAGGCAAACUAAGCAGCCUACCUCUUCCUGUGAACUCGGAAGGAAAAUCAAUGAUAAGACCUCUGAGAUAUUGUAUUGGCAGGCCUACCCCAUCAUCCUGGCUUCCCCACUAGAAGUUCAAACGGCCCACUACUUGUGUCAGAGACUGAGAGGAGAGAGAGAGGCUGGGCUGCCCCAGGACCUGGAAGCAGCUCUCAUGGAGCCAGUCUGCAGCAGCCAACAAGCCAGCCAGAGGGCCAGUGAGCAGAGACUCAGCUCAAGAAGGAAACACCAUAUAAGAAGCCCUCAUUUUGUAUCUGACAAUCACCAAAGACUUUUCUAUUAGAUGGAGUGUGUGCUUAUGCCAUUUAUGUUUUGCUGCAUUAUUUUUCUGCUUGUAGAAGUUCUAGGACAGUCUCCUUAUCUGAAUUUAAAAUAAACCUUAUUUUGCCUUUCCUUGUCCAUUUCUGUUAUCUAUUUUUGGGCUGUUUUCUGAAAUGAGACUUACGG